This 253-nucleotide ribosomal RNA is filed under the name uncultured bacterium. Its description in RNAcentral is "partial 16S ribosomal RNA". It matches the Rfam family "Bacterial small subunit ribosomal RNA", at positions 524 to 776 of the family's 1533-position model. The record is from RNAcentral.
UACAGAGGGGGCAAGCGUUAUUCGGAAUUAUUGGGCGUAAAGGGCGCGUAGGCGGCUUGGCAAGUGGAUGGUGAAAUCCCUCGGCUUAACCGAGGAACUGCCGUCCAAACUGCUUUGCUUGAGACCGGGAGAGGUGAGUGGAAUUCCCAGUGUAGCGGUGAAAUGCGUAGAUAUUGGGAGGAACACCAGUGGCGAAGGCGGCUCACUGGACCGGUACUGACGCUGAUGCGCGAAGGCGUGGGGAGCGAACGGG